GGGCGCCCCUCCCCCAGCCUCGCUGCCGCCUUGCAGUUUGAUCUCAGACGGCUGUGCUAGCAAUCAGUGAGACUCCGUGGGCGUAGGACCCUCCCAGCCAGGUGCCGGAUAUAAUCUCGUGGUGCGCCGGUUUUUAAGCCCGUCGGAAAAGCGCAGUAUUCAGGUGGGAGUGACCCGAUUUUCCAGGUGCCGUCUGUCACCCCUUUCUUUGACUAGGAAAGGGAACUCCCUGACCCCUUGCACUUCCCGAGUGAGGCAAUGCCUCGCCCUGCUUCAGCUCGCACAUGGUGCGCGCACCCACUGACCUGCGCCCACUGUCUGGCACUCCGUAGUGAGAUGAACCCGGUACCUCAGAUGGAAAUGCAGAAAUCACCCAUCUUCUGCGUCACUCAAGCUGGGAGCUGUAGACCGGAGCUGUUCCUAUUCGGCCAUCUUGGCUCCUCCGCUCUAUUUGCAGUUCUUAAAGGCCAAGUCUCGCCACAUGGCAUCAUUUCCUCCUCACCUGCAGAAUCGCUGUGACUUAUGGCUCCUCUGAUUGCACCUGCUUUCACCAGCAGCCCUGGAAGAGAGCUCUUCUGUGUGGAUAAGAGUUGAGAGAUCUUGGUUUCAUUACUUGUUUAAAUUGGACCCUCUCAAAUGAAUGUAAGCACAUAAUGGGGGGACUACACUAUGAGAUUAAAAGGAAUCCAGCUGUUACCAGAAAUGGGUGCCUGCCAGGUUUAUCCACCAAAUUCUUUCCACUUCAUGUCAUUAAAAUAAAAUUUGAGUUUUAAAAUGAAAAUUUCUCAGAUUGAUAUGAAUUUGUCUCAUUGAUUUUAUUAAUAUAGCCAGUUAACAUAACAAUUCUAUCAUACAAGGAAAUGAGAAUAAUACAAAAGCAAAAAUAAGGGUAGGG
RNAcentral lists this long non-coding RNA (895 nucleotides) under Homo sapiens (human). RNAcentral describes it as "HSALNT0043259". Lineage: Eukaryota; Metazoa; Chordata; Mammalia; Primates; Hominidae. The record is from RNAcentral.